Molecule: ribosomal RNA, 252 nt
Filed under: uncultured prokaryote
Description: partial 16S rRNA
Rfam family: Archaeal small subunit ribosomal RNA
Source: RNAcentral
ACCGGCAGCUCAAGUGGUGGCCAUUUUUAUUGGGCCUAAAUCUUUCGUAUCCGGUUUGAUAAGUCUCUGGUGAAAUCCCGCAGCUUAACUGUGGGACUUGCUGGAGAUACUAUUAGACUUGAGGUCGGGAGAGGUUAGGGGUACUCCCAGGGUAGGGGUGAAAUCCUAUAAUCCUGGGAGGACCACCUGUGGCGAAGGCGCCUAACUGGCACGAACUUGAAGGUGUGUUUGGGAUGUUUGGGUUGUGAUAAG